RNAcentral lists this ribosomal RNA (324 nucleotides) under uncultured eukaryote. Its description in RNAcentral is "partial 18S ribosomal RNA". It matches the Rfam family "Eukaryotic small subunit ribosomal RNA", at positions 1470 to 1796 of the family's 1831-position model. The record is from RNAcentral.
CCCUUAGAUGUUCUGAGCCGCACGCGCGCUACACUGAUGCAUUCAACGAGUUUCUUCCUGGUCCGAGAGGAAUGGGUAACCUUUUGAAAGUGCAUCGUGAUAGGGAUAGACUAUUGCAAUUAUUGGUCUUCAACGAGGAAUUCCUAGUAGACGUAGUUCAUCAGACUGCAUCGAUUACGUCCCUGCCCUUUGUACACACCGCCCGCCGCUCCUACCGAUUGAAUGCUCAGGUGAGCCAUUCGGACUUUCAUCAUGCUGGUUUCCAGUUUUGAUGAAGGAAAGUCUUGCGAACCUUAUCAUUUAGAGGAAGGAGAAGUCGUAACA